ACGUUCCGAGGAUAUUCGCUUUAGUCGAGUCUUGCUUUUCGUCGGCGCGCCAACAGUACGCGCGUUCUCGUUGAUUCAAGAAAUGUCGCGCGACGUUGACAAAGAUGCACCGGAAUGUACAGAAAAUGAUAAUUUGUUAGAAAAUCGGAACGAUCCUCGUAUCGCGUGUUGUUCAGUCGUAAUGUCAGACGAAUCGAAUCAAAGGUAUAAUCAUAAUCAUCAUCAUCACCACCAUCUUCAUCACCAUCAACACAAUUAUCGACGUCAGCAACAACAAAGAUAUAAACAAGAUAAUUGUAAGAGUCUAGUAAGCUAUGAGAAAUCGAAUCGAAAGGGGGGUGGUGGUGGUCCAAUCGGGAUCGUUGAUGGUUCGAGUCACGAUGUCACCUCUUCAGCAACUCUUCCAUCGAUCGUCGUCAGCGACGUAGACGAGAACGAGGAGGAUCCACCGCCUUACAGUGCGAUUGUGCCACCGGAUCACGUCGGCUGGCCGUUCGUCUUCUCGACCCACAUCCCGUAUUCCAUGCACGCAACGCAACCCUGCAUAACAGAGCCGCCUUUGGCGCCCUUCCAGACACUACCCCUAACUCAAGCAUCGCCACCGCUACCUCUACCUCUACCUCUACCACUACCACUACCACUGUCGCAAUCGCAAUCACUAGCAUCAACACCACCAGUACAAGCAACAUCCUCUCUCCAACAACCACUCACGACAACGACUCACCGAAUCGAAAACCCUUCUUCCCUUGAUCACCCCACCCCAAGCCUGUCCUUAACGCCUUACCGGUUUUUUAAGUUUGCCUCUCCUCGAUCCAUCAUAGGCCACCAUCGUUCUUCGAAUAUCAUUGAUAAUCCUCCUAACGGCAAACAGGUUCAACGAAAAACUAGAAGAUACGGAGGAAUAUUAAUUGCAGCUGCUGUCAUUGUUUUUUUAAUGGUAUUGUCCUUGAUGGUUAGAUUUGUAAUGGAAAGAAGUUUCUGGCGAAGAUGAUAGCGUUAAAUAUAAAAUAAAAUAUCGAAGCAAAUAAUCUAAGACGAUAAAAUAUGAGAAAAAAGAAAAAAUCGUCAGAUACUUUCAUUUCGAAUUUGCAUUGAUAUUUCGAAGUGAAAGAGCAAUGUAAAAUAUACAAUUAGUAUCAGCGUCAUACGACGCAUAUACGUUAAUAGGAAGAGGAAAUUGUUCUCCUUGAUAAAACUCUUGGAACAAAACAAUGCACUGGGACGAAUGGAACGAUCGGUUCCGGCUGCUUGCAGCUGUUAAUUAUUCGUUAAAUGUGUUAUCCAUUUAAAGUGAAAAGUUCAUCCUUUCUAUAUAAGUCUAUUGGAAAGAUAAGGAAAUAAAGUCGUUGAAUAAAAAUGAGAAAGAAAGAGAGAGAGAGAUAGCAAUAGUUUAAGCAGAAACGAAAUCAAAAGAGAGAUAAAUAAGUUAAUAAAAAGAAAACAAAGUGUUAAGAUAAAAGAAUACAAAAAUACACAUACAUGGUGAUACCAAGGAUGACAAAACAGAACAGGGAUAAAGGAGAGGGAGGGAGGAUGAGAAUUAGGGAUUAUAAAGGAAGAAGGGAUGACAGUCAUGUCUCAAGACAGUGAGUAGCUAGAAACCGUACAACGAAGGGACUGUAACUGUCUCAAGCGACGGCAAAAGGGUUGGAAACUCCUUUCAUGUAAAGUAAUAAACUACCGACAACCGUUGAUAAACACCUAA
This 1705-nucleotide unclassified non-coding RNA is filed under the name Polistes fuscatus (common paper wasp). Its description in RNAcentral is "uncharacterized LOC122523186, transcript variant X2". The record is from RNAcentral. Lineage: Eukaryota; Metazoa; Arthropoda; Insecta; Hymenoptera; Vespidae.